AGCUCAGGCAUUGUGUGGAUCAUCCCUGCGGCUCUUGCACUGCUCAGGGAUCCUGCCGUGUCCCACCUGGCAGGCGCUGGCAAAUCAAAGAUUUGCGUGAAAUUGGCAGCUGAAAGGCACAGUGGCUUCUCUGAUGGCACAGAAUGCUGGGGAGGAGGCUUGACUUCCGUCAGAAAACCCUGGGGAGAUAACGAGCAGAGAUAGAGUGGCCACAGGGAUGUCCAAGAUGGAAAUGGGGGUGUGCAACAACCUGCUUAUCUGGGGUUUGACUUGAGGACAAGGCAUAUCCUGGCUUUCCACACCCCCUACAUUUCCACCAUGGGGCACCUCAGUUGCCCAGAGUGUCUCCAGGGAUCUGAAUCUCCUGGGGAGAACAAGUUGCACAGUGGACCUGAAUGCCAUUAAAGUGGCUGUCCCCAGGCUUAAAGCAGCCUCUGGCUGAAAGGAUGAGGUGAUCUGGGGACAGAUGACCUGUCUCUACCCAUGGGGCCACAAGAAGGCAGGAUGACUGGAACUGAGAUCCCAGGCUGCUGGCACUACCAGCAUCAUCAAAAAUGUGUGUUCUGGGGGCCAGUGGAGAUUAUGGGAGCAUGUGAUAUUGAGUCUUAAUAAAAAUACACCCAGAUAAUAACA
Non-coding RNA from Lonchura striata (white-rumped munia), 633 nucleotides. Lineage: Eukaryota; Metazoa; Chordata; Aves; Passeriformes; Estrildidae. The record is from RefSeq and is a predicted model, not a curated record.